CCUGCCAAUUACAAAGAUAUUUUCUAUGUGCUGUCUAUCUCGUCUGUGUAAGAGUGUUAGGAGUAUUGUUUGUCAAGGUUUCCAUAUCUGUAGAGGACAAAAGAACAGUUACAUGUUAUGGUAAGUUUUUUUCAUAAAAUUUUAUUAAAUUUCUAAGUCUAUUAUCAUGUUAAUGGGAACAUAUGUUUUGAAUUUGACAUUCUUCAAAUC
This 210-nucleotide long non-coding RNA is filed under the name Mytilus galloprovincialis (Mediterranean mussel). Lineage: Eukaryota; Metazoa; Mollusca; Bivalvia; Mytilida; Mytilidae. The record is from RNAcentral.